GACGAACGCUGGCGGCGUGCUUAACACAUGCAAGUCGAACGGAAAGGCCCUGCUUUUGUGGGGUGCUCGAGUGGCGAACGGGUGAGUAACACGUGAGUAACCUGCCCUUGACUUUGGGAUAACUUCAGGAAACUGGGGCUAAUACCGGAUAGGAGCUCCUGCUGCAUGGUGGGCGUUGGAACGUUUCGGCGGUUGGGGAUGGACUCGCGGCUUAUCAGCUUGUUGGUGGGGUAGUGGCUUACCAAGGCUUUGACGGGUAGCCGGCCUGAGGGGGUGACCGGCCACAUUGGGACUGAGAGACGGCCCAGACUGCUACGGGAGGCAGCAGUGGAGAAUAUUGCACAAUGGGCGGAAGCCUGAUGCAGCAACGCCGCGUGCGGGAUGACGGCCUUCGGGUUGUAAACCGCUUUCGCCUGUGACGAAGCGUGAGUGACGGUAAUGGGUAAAGAAGCACCGGCUAACUACGUG
Molecule: ribosomal RNA, 468 nt
Filed under: uncultured bacterium
Lineage: Bacteria
Description: partial 16S ribosomal RNA
Rfam family: Bacterial small subunit ribosomal RNA
Source: RNAcentral